This 211-nucleotide ribosomal RNA is filed under the name Salmonella enterica. Its description in RNAcentral is "partial 23S ribosomal RNA". It matches the Rfam family "Bacterial large subunit ribosomal RNA", at positions 2720 to 2925 of the family's 2925-position model. The record is from RNAcentral. Lineage: Bacteria; Pseudomonadati; Pseudomonadota; Gammaproteobacteria; Enterobacterales; Enterobacteriaceae.
GUUGUCAUGCCAAUGGCACUGCCCGGUAGCUAAAUGCGGAAGAGAUAAGUGCUGAAAGCAUCUAAGCACGAAACUUGCCCCGAGAUGAGUUCUCCCUGAGACUUAGAGUCUCCUGAAGGAACGUUGAAGACGACGACGUUGAUAGGCCGGGUGUGUAAGCGCAGCGAUGCGUUGAGCUAACCGGUACUAAUGAACCGUGAGGCUUAACCUU